Lotus japonicus is the source of this 914-nucleotide long non-coding RNA. RefSeq lists it as uncharacterized. NCBI's taxonomy places the organism in Eukaryota, Viridiplantae, Streptophyta, Magnoliopsida, Fabales, Fabaceae. The transcript is spliced from 6 exons. The record is from RefSeq and is a predicted model, not a curated record.
CGCUGAAACUCUUCUUCAUGUAUUUUCUUCCCAUCCUGCAUUCUCCUCUUCCAACUGAAACCUCCCUCUUCCCCUAAAAAUUCUCCACUUCAAAUCAGUUAUUCAAAAACCUGUAAACCGCACCUAAAUCAUAUAUUAUGGAAUUUAAAUUGAUUUUCAAUUUGCAUUUUCAAAAUGGGGCGCCUUGGGUGAAAAUUUGGGGCUUUUUCAGGAGAAAAUUUAGGAAUUUCAUACUCCUCUGUUUAGGGUUAACCCAACCUCCAACCUCUAAAAACCCUUUUGUCAAACAUUUUCAUCUCACACAAGUUCAUCGCUGUAACCGUUUGUUCAAUGGGUUCUCCGUGUUCUUCUCCAACUGCAUAAAUUCUAGAUUUCACAUCCGUUCACCUGUGCAAAGGAAAAGAAAUUAGACUGACAACUCUAAUCCAGCACAAGUAAGUUCAAGUAAAACUCUUGGUUUAAACAAAUAAAAGCUCGCUGCAUUCUUAGUUUGCUGCGACCUAGAGAAAAGAUCAUAGAGUGGAGUUGACUUCAACUGAGAUUCCUUGCAAAUUGAUAGUAUUGAUGCAAAUAGGGUGCUAUCUAUUCAAAAGCAUCAAUCUAAUGAUACUGGUGACAUUUCUAUUACAAGUGAAAAUGAACUUGAAUCAUAUUCUGCGCAUAAUGUUACUCCUAUGAAAAGAAUGUCACAUCAAAAUCUUGAUUAUUCUGACAUACCGGAAAACUCUCCAGCACAAGCUUCCUCAACUAAGGAGUUAAAACGUGUUAAGAUAGAGAAGUGAAAUAAGAACUUGAUUACAAUGAGACUACUGCUAUGUUAGUAUAUGUUGCUUUGCUAUUUAUGUUGUUUUAAAGAGUUAAUUACAUUGUUUGGUUUGGUAUUAAGUAAAAUCGGAUGGCCAAUUUUAAUAUUA